This 938-nucleotide long non-coding RNA is filed under the name Homo sapiens (human). Its description in RNAcentral is "HSALNT0152037". The record is from RNAcentral. Lineage: Eukaryota; Metazoa; Chordata; Mammalia; Primates; Hominidae.
UUAAAAUGCUAUUUUUCUCCAACAGGUCAAAAGAAUUCUGCGAGUUAGAGCGCAGAUUAAGUUGCUAGCGACGGGCAUUGAAGGUUUUAGAACCGAGAAAAUGAGCCGGUGGCGGGGAGCGCGUCCUCAGCGGCCAGGCCCGGCACGGGGCUCGGGCACUCGGGGACACACGGUGGUCGUCGCUGUGUCUCAGCAGGACCCUGUGCGCUGGAGAGCUUGGGGCCGCGAGUCGCGCAGCAAGGAGGCUUCUGGCUUCUCUAUUUUUAGCCUCUGAACGUUUUCCAAAAUAAUUACCAAAAGGAAAUACACACGCACACAUGGACCUAACACACAAAACGUCCUUCUGCGGGAAGCCAGCACUAGGAAAGAAAAAAAAAAAAAUCCGAAGUGAAAUUAUGACACAGGGUUUUGUAACCCGCGGUGGCGCGCUUCUGAAACCCGAGCCCGGCAGCGGCUUCUUAUCUGCACCGCGUUCCAGGAAGCAGCCGGCGUUUCGGCCGCGCAAGGGCAGCCGCCGCACGUAGGCAGCGUCCCCCAGCCCGGGACCCGCAGGAAUGCGAGGGGCAAGACAGAUCGCCGGAGGAGCAGGGGUCAGAAGUCAGUGUUUAACCACUCACUGGCUUUCGGUGAAGCCAGAAUGUUAGCAGCGAGUCGCGGUCGGGGGCCUUGGGGUUGCACACGCUUGCUCCAAGCACCGAGGCUCAGCUGAGCACAUGCACAACCCUCUCGAUGCAGCGGAAAGUCGUGUGGCUUAGGGCCGCACCCCGAAUUUCGCCGCACCCGCCGCUGUGCCAUUUACAACCCCCCACCCCGCCACUGCUGUCACGUAGCAAUCAAGAGUAAAGGUUAUCACAAAGUCUGUUCUUCGAAGGAAAGAGUUGGAAUCAAGGACUUCGGACGGGAGGAAGUUGUUCUACUGGAGGCAGCUACCAUGUUUC